RNAcentral lists this ribosomal RNA (439 nucleotides) under uncultured bacterium. RNAcentral's name for it is "partial 16S ribosomal RNA". It matches the Rfam family "Bacterial small subunit ribosomal RNA", at positions 338 to 795 of the family's 1533-position model. The record is from RNAcentral.
CCUACGGGUGGCAGCAGUGGGGAAUAUUGCACAAUGGGCGAAAGCCUGAUCCAGCAACGCCGCGUGAGCGAUGAAGGCCUUCGGGUCGUAAAGCCCUGUCCUCCAGGAAGAUAAUGACGGUACUUGAGGAGGCAGCCCCGGCUAACUGCGUGCCAGCAGCCGCGGUAAGAGGUAGGGGGCUCGCGUUACCCGGAAUUAUUGGGCGUAAAGGGUGCGUAGGUGGUUUCUUAGGUCAGAGGUGAAAGGCUAGGGCUCAACCGUAGUAAGCCUUGGAAACUGGGAAACUUGCGUGCAGGAGAGGAGAGUGGAAUGCGUAGUGUAGCGGUGAAAUGCGUAGAUAUUAGGAGGAACACCAGUUGCGAAGGCGGCUCUCUGGACUGUAACUGACACUGAGGCACGAAAGCGUGGGGAGCAAACAGGAUUAGAUACCCUAGUAGUC